GGGCUGUUAGCUCAGUUGGUAGAGCAGUUGACUCUUAAUCAAUAGGUCCAAGGUUCGAAUCCUUGACCAAGGUUCGAAUCCUUGACAGCCCACCA
RNAcentral lists this transfer RNA (95 nucleotides) under Stenotrophomonas indicatrix. Its description in RNAcentral is "tRNA-Lys". It matches the Rfam family "tRNA". Rfam says of the family: Transfer RNA (tRNA) molecules are approximately 80 nucleotides in length. Lineage: Bacteria; Pseudomonadati; Pseudomonadota; Gammaproteobacteria; Lysobacterales; Lysobacteraceae. The record is from RNAcentral.